Molecule: long non-coding RNA, 422 nt
Organism: Xiphias gladius (swordfish)
Lineage: Eukaryota; Metazoa; Chordata; Actinopteri; Istiophoriformes; Xiphiidae
Exons: 2
Source: RefSeq, a predicted model, not a curated record
ACCGGGGAAAAGUUCACAAGGGCCACCAAGAACAAUGCCAGGACUCGGUCUCUCGGGACCAUGGACACCCACGAACACCCCCUCCCCCACCCGCCCAUAUGAAAACGCUGAAAGGGUGGACGAGGAACGCGAAGGGAUCUAGCACACCGAGGACCGACUUCGAGGAUGGGCAGGAUCAGCGACAUCGUUACGGCGACUUCCGACUCAACCUCCGCUUCUGAAACGUAACCCCAUCAACUCCCUUGUUACUGGUCAGUCUUCAGACAUCUGCGGUAUCUUCCAAACGACAGCUCUCCGUAUUGACAACUCGUCCACAACAUCAGCGGGAACAACGCACUGCGUUUUCCGGGUUUUUCUACGUUAUGUCUGUUAAUUUGUCCAAGAUUAGCGACCUUUAAUAAACAUUAUGCCCUCGUGAAAAA